AAACAUAGGGGGCAAGCGUUGUCCGGAAUCACUGGGCGUAAAGGGCGCGUAGGCGGUCUGUUAAGUCGGAUGUGAAAUGUAAGGGCUCAACCCUUAACGUGCAUCUGAUACUGGCAGACUUGAGUGCGGAAGAGGCAAGUGGAAUUCCUAGUGUAGCGGUGAAAUGCGUAGAUAUUAGGAGGAACACCGGUGGCGAAGGCGGCUACCUGGACCGAUACUGACGCUGAGACGCGAAAGCGUGGGGAGC
RNAcentral lists this ribosomal RNA (247 nucleotides) under uncultured bacterium. RNAcentral's name for it is "partial 16S ribosomal RNA". It matches the Rfam family "Bacterial small subunit ribosomal RNA", at positions 523 to 769 of the family's 1533-position model. The record is from RNAcentral.